AUUGAACGCUGGCGGCAUGCUUUACACAUGCAAGUCGAACGGCAGCGCGGGCUUCGGCCUGGCGGCGAGUGGCGAACGGGUGAGUAAUGCAUCGGAACGUGCCCAGUAGUGGGGGAUAGCCCGGCGAAAGCCGGAUUAAUACCGCAUACGACCUGAGGGUGAAAGCGGGGGACCGAAAGGCCUCGCGCUAUUGGGGCGGCCGAUGUCGGAUUAGCUAGUUGGUGGGGUAAAGGCUUACCAAGGCGACGAUCCGUAGCUGGUCUGAGAGGACGACCAGCAACACUGGGACUGAGACACGGCCCAGACUCCUACGGGAGGCAGCAGUGGGGAAUUUUGGACAAUGGGGGCAACCCUGAUCCAGCCAUGCCGCGUGCGGGAAGAAGGCCUUCGGGUUGUAAACCGCUUUUGUUCGGGAAGAAAUCCUCUGGGCUAAUACCCCGGGGGGAUGACGGUACCGGAAGAAUAAGCACCGGCUAACUACGU
This 483-nucleotide ribosomal RNA is filed under the name uncultured bacterium. Its description in RNAcentral is "partial 16S ribosomal RNA". It matches the Rfam family "Bacterial small subunit ribosomal RNA", at positions 28 to 506 of the family's 1533-position model. The record is from RNAcentral.